RNAcentral lists this ribosomal RNA (406 nucleotides) under uncultured bacterium. RNAcentral describes it as "partial 16S ribosomal RNA". It matches the Rfam family "Bacterial small subunit ribosomal RNA", at positions 28 to 526 of the family's 1533-position model. The record is from RNAcentral.
GACGAACGCUGGCGGCAGGCCUAACACAUGCAAGUCGAGCGAGAGGCGGACGGGUGAAUAAUGGAUGGGGACCUGGCUGAUAGAGGGGGAUAACGACUGGAAACGGUGGCUAAUACCGCAUAACAUCGGUUGGACCCAUAUGGAAUUAGCUAGCCGGUGGGGUAAAGGCUCACCAAGGCGACGAUCUCUAGCUGGUCUGAGAGGAUGAUCGGCCACACUGGGACUUAGACACGGCCCAGACUCCUACUGGAGGCAGCAGUGGGUAAUCUUUCACAAUGGGCGCAAGCCUGAUGCAGCCAUGCCGCGUGUAUGAAGAAGGCCUUAGGGUUGUAAAGUACUUUCAGCGGGGAGGCGUUACCCGAAGAAGAAGCAACGGCUAACUCCGUGCCAGCAGCCGCGGUAAUUC